Molecule: ribosomal RNA, 488 nt
Filed under: uncultured bacterium
Lineage: Bacteria
Description: bacterial SSU rRNA
Rfam family: Bacterial small subunit ribosomal RNA
Source: RNAcentral
ACGCUGGCGGCGUGCCUAACACAUGCAAGUCGAACGAAGAUAAGCGCUGAAUUGACGAUAGCUUGCUAUAAGAUUUUCUUGCUUANCUUAGUGGCGGACGGGCGAGUAACGCGUGAGCAACCUGCCUCUCAGUGGGGGAAUAACGUUUGGAAACGAACGCUAAUACCGCAUAACGUAGCGAAGUCGCAUGGCUUUGUUACCAAAGGAUUUAUUCGCUGAGAGAUGGGCUCGCGUCCGAUUAGCUAGUUGUGGGGUAACGGCCUACCAAGGCGACGAUCGGUAGCCGAACUGAGAGGUUGAUCGGCCGCAUUGGGACUGAGACACGGCCCAGACUCCUACGGGAGGCAGCAGUGGGGGAUAUUGCACAAUGGGGGAAACCCUGAUGCAGCAACGCCGCGUGAGGGAAGAAGGUCUUCGGAUUGUAAACCUAAGUUGUCAGGGACGAACAAAUGACGGUACCUGAAGAGAAAGCUCCGGCUAACUACGUG